CCCUUAAAUGUUCUGGGCAGCACGCGCGCUACAAUGGUCUUCGCAAACGGAUGCAUUCUCGAAGGAGAAUGCCAAUCUUGGAAUCUAUGCCUUGGUCGGGACAGUUGCUUGCAAUUUUUCGACUCGAACCAGGAAUUCCUUGUAAUCGUGAUUCAUCACAUCACGAUGAAUACGUCCCUGCCCUUUGUACACACCGCCCGUCGCUCCUACCGAUCGAAGAGUUAGGUGAAUUGUUUUGAUCGAUAAGAUUUGACUAUGGUCAACUCUCGUUGUGAAAUUCUGUGAAUCUGACUGUUUAGAGGAAGGAAAAGUCGUAACA
Molecule: ribosomal RNA, 319 nt
Filed under: uncultured eukaryote
Lineage: Eukaryota
Description: partial 18S ribosomal RNA
Rfam family: Eukaryotic small subunit ribosomal RNA
Source: RNAcentral